Molecule: long non-coding RNA, 546 nt
Filed under: Homo sapiens (human)
Lineage: Eukaryota; Metazoa; Chordata; Mammalia; Primates; Hominidae
Description: ADAM7, ADAMDEC1 and ADAM28 antisense RNA 1
Source: RNAcentral
AGAAAGAAUAAGGGCGUCCUCUGAGACCCAUAGGGCAACAUGGAAACUUGACAGCAGCUGCCUGCAGAAUGCACAUAAGGUUUUUGGCAUUGUGCUUGCACUGAAUAAAAGCAAGCAGCUCCAGCUUCUCCGGGCUGCUCUUUGGACACCAGAGCCAGGCAGUCACCUAGCUGCUCUUACAGUGCAUACCUGUGUCUGAAUGGUCAUUUCAUCCAUCUGCCAGCGUCUGCAGGACAGAGCCAGCAGGUGGUGCCCUGUGUGAGGAAUGCUGCAACAGAUUGUGACAAAACCCUCGAGAAUGAAAGUGAAGUGACUGCGCACCCCGCCGUUACCGAGUAAAGGUGCCACAGAGGAGACAAAUAUUUUCCCUGAGCCCUCUCUCCCAAUAUAUUGGAAAAAAUACAAGGGAUACACUACUGUUAUGGGACCCUGUCUUAGUCAAGUGGAAUUAGAAGGGAGCUCUUGACCUGCCCAGUGAUGCAAGAUCAACAAGACAAUCAGUAAGAAACGUACAAACAUUAAGAAGAGCCUAUUCAGAAAAGACAG